Molecule: ribosomal RNA, 383 nt
Filed under: uncultured eukaryote
Lineage: Eukaryota
Description: partial 18S ribosomal RNA
Rfam family: Eukaryotic small subunit ribosomal RNA
Source: RNAcentral
CAGUAGCGUAUAUUAAAGUUGUUGCAGUUAAAAAGCUCGUAGUUGGAUUUCUGGUGGGAGCGAUCGGUCUGGCGCUUAGCGCGAGUACUUGCAUCGUCUCCGGCCAUCCUUGGGGAGAGUCUGUCUGGCAUUAGGUUGUCGGGCAGAGGAUCCUCAUCGUUUACUGUGAAAAAAUUAGAGUGUUCAAAGCAGGCUUAUGCCGUUGAAUAUAUUAGCAUGGAAUAAUAAGAUAGGACUUUGGUACUAUUUUGUUGGUUUGCGCACCAAAGUAAUGAUUAAUAGGGACAGUUGGGGGUAUUCGUAUUCCGUUGUCAGAGGUGAAAUUCUUGGAUUUACGGAAGACGAACUACUGCGAAAGCAUUUACCAAGGAUGUUUUCAUUAA